Long non-coding RNA from Thunnus maccoyii (southern bluefin tuna), 6971 nucleotides. RefSeq lists it as uncharacterized. The record is from RefSeq and is a predicted model, not a curated record. Lineage: Eukaryota; Metazoa; Chordata; Actinopteri; Scombriformes; Scombridae. The transcript is spliced from 5 exons.
AAUUUUUCUAUGGCCUGCAAGAGGCUGCCUGCAAAUCAGGCUAGCAUGGUAAAAUUUAUUUUUAUUUUUUUGUAUUUGUUUAAGGGGACAGAUAGCUGUGGUUCACACUCCAACAUAGUAAGUGGCAGUAAUGCGCCUUAACGCUGGUUGCCAUAAAAACGAUAAAACAGCCAUAAAACGGAAAAAAGAAGAAGUAUCACACCCGCUCCACACCUGCCAUUUGCUCACUGGGUCAAGUUGCGCUCUGGGCUGGCAGGCCCGGGCGGGCCACAGAGAAACUCACUUUACCUAACAGCAAGCUUCAAAAUGUCCCGGUCGAAGCUAGAGAGACGUAAAGUUGGUUGUGAAAAUUGCCAAUUCUAAAGCGAAUAGACUGAGAGGUAUUUAUUCACUUUGCCAACUGCAACAAGUAAUAAACCGGUGUGUUUAUUGUGAAACAAAUGCAUUGCUGUGAUGAAAGAAUAUAACGUGAAGAGGCUUUACAAGUCAAAUCAUGGCUCGUUUUCUGCCAGUUUUGCAGAGGGCUUGGAGGAGCGGAGAAGGAAAGUACAGGGACUGCCAGCAUCUUUUCAAUGGAGUCAAGUGGCCCUUGGUCGCUUUUGCACGGAACAAGAGAGAGCCAUGAUAGUAUCCCUGCAUGUAGCCUGGACACUAACCAGAGAGAAGAGGCCUUUUACCAAGGUGGAAACCGUUAGAGAUUGCAUGCUUGCUGUCAUUGAUGAAAUGGUUGUUGAUGAAAUAGUUAAGGAAAGCGUCACUUCAACCAUUAAAAAAGUACCUCUCUCGGACACAUCAACUCUUCGCAGAGUGGAACUACUUGCAAAGGAUGUCUCAAGAAAGCUUUUGGAAAACCUUCAAAAAGCAGAGGUGAUGUCUAUCGCUGUUGGCGAAUCAACUGAUCGUACCGACAUGGCCCAGCUAUGCAUCUAUGUCAAGUUUUUCAACGGAGUGUGCUUUUGGGAAGAACCUCUGGGACUUAUUCCAUUGGAGGGACACACUACAGAUUUCUACCACAAACUGGUGUCAGAAGUGGGAUUGCUCGACUGAGGGUGUCUGGACUCGGAGUCGAAGGGGGCCGAUCAUCCUGAAGCCAAAUCUUCAGCCUCAACCUCGCCACAAGGACGGGUGAGACGGAGGGCCUAAAACCCGAGGCCGGACUCACUCAGCGCUGAAACCAAUGAUCCUGAACUGGUGAGAAUCUGGAAAUUGACUCAGAGAGAAAAAAAGGGGUACUAAAAUGGUUGAAAAUAUUAAUGGUGAAAUAAGAAAGAGAUUUUGAUCUACCAAUCAGGAAAGGGUCCCAACAGUUUUUUUAACCGAGGUUUAAUAGAAACCUGGAGGUGCACUGACGAGUCCACCUCAAAGAGAGUUUACUGUAAUCACAAUAGUGUGUGGAAGAAUUAUUACUUGGUAAUAAUGGUAAUUAUUACUUGUGUGAGGUAAGACUCAGAAAACGCACAUAGGAAACGUAGAUAAUUUCUCUGUUCUGAUCACCCUGUUUUGAUGAAAAAAAAAAAAUUGAGAAUUUGACAGUAAUAAGACACCAUACUGAAAUUGGUCACAUUAUUUUGGGUAUACUAACAUUGAUUAGUUUUCUGAUAUUCUUAACGGGUGUACUUUGGAGAUUAGUUGAACACAUAACUCAAAUCUCUUACUACAUUUUUUUUCUUUUAAUCUGCCAAAAUGGGUAGCGUUAACAAUAAAAAUCAUACAAAGUACAAAUAUGAUAAUGUGAUCCUGUCCGCUCCAAAUAUAAACUACAUGAGAGUGAACUAUGGUGAUUCAUCUGUGAAACAAAUAAUAAUCUGGACUACUGAAUGUGGCUUUCUGAGUACAGGAAGUUUCAGUAUCAGACAGCUAAAUCAGCUGAAGGAAAGACUGCAGGAGAAGGAAAAAAAGACUGAGGAUAAAAAGGCAAGAGGAAGUUCAUAGCAGAUUGGAAAGCUUUUAGUUUAUGGAUGAAAGAAGCACAAAAGAGGGACAGAAAAACACAGGCAGGGACAGAUAAAACCUCAUCUGUGUCUCAGUGUGUCAAAAUGCAGGAUUCUGAAUUCAACUGGGUGCUGCCCAGGAGACGCCUCAACCCGCCACAACAACAAGAUGAACCAGCAGCCCAAGCUCAUCAGACGCCUGAUCCAUGGCCAAGAGCUACACCACCUUAUAACUCUAACCUUCCCCCAUCUCAUGUUCCCCUCAUCUACCCUGAUACAUCUGGCUUACGACAACUUUUGGAUGAGGCCACAGCAACAACAAAUCAACAGGACAAAGCUGCCUCCCCUUCUCAUACCAGGUCUGGUCUGGUAUUCAAAAGAUCUCAAAAUCCAACCAUCGUCCCUGUGCUUUCAUUCAUCACCCCCCAUCUCCAGUGGGACCUGACAGAGGGAAACGUGGACUGGAUCCUGAAUCUCCCCAUGAUGGAGAGAGUUUCACCCAACAACCUCUGAACUGAGAUGGCUCCUGAUGGUAAAGAUGGGCAAUAAUUGGGCAAAGAUCUCAGCAGGAUAUCCAGAGAAUGAUAUGACACUGGCUAACCCCGACUGGGUGCAUAAUGACAACGCAGCCUAUAGAGUACACAUCACAGAUCUCUGUGAGCACAUCAAAGCAGCAUUCACUGUGAGAUUGGACAUGAGCAAAAUCUCCUCAUGUAAACAAGAAGAUGAUGAGAGUGUUCACAACUGUCUCACUCCUCUGACAGAAGUUCACAACACACACAGCGGGCUGACACCUACAGCUGACCUGAAUGAUAAUGCUAUUACAGCAUGGGAAGUACAUUUGAGAAACAGCUUCCUGAAUGGACUGGAACCUGAUAUUUCCUACAUAGUGAAACGUAUAUUCAUCACCUGGGACUAAACGCAAAUUAAGCCUCAUUGAAGCACAUGCUGUGCACGCUGAGAAAAUCCUCAAAGAAAGCCAAGUGAGGAAAGGAGAAAAGAAAGAGAAAGAUCUGCACAUUGCUGCAUUGACUAUGUUCCAAGGACAUACCAGAGGGCGCAGACACAGCCGUGGCAGAGGCGGACUUAGAGGUGGCUGUAGAGGAUGACACACAACUGAUCCAGAUUCUUGUUUUCAUUGUGGUGAGAGAGGACACUGGGCCAAAGACUGCGUAAAGAAAAAUCCAACUUUCAAGCACAAAGCCGAUUGACUCGGGGCUCAGGAGGGGGAGGAAUCAGCACCUUUAACUUUGACCACACUGAUGCACGAUGAGAGACAACCUACACAUCAGACAGUGAUUCAGGUUCCAAUUCUCUUUUUGACAUUCCUGUUUCAUAUCCACACGUGUCAAACACAGGGAAGGAAAAUGGCAAGAUUUGGGUCCAUGGGUGCCGCCUGAAAGUAAAUGGUUUUCAGUGGUCGAUUCGGCGAACGCAUUUUCAGUGUUCCAGUCCAUCCAGAGAAGGGUUUUGUGAAUCACCUACCAUCUACAGCGUUGCGUUGAAAGAAAGUUUGAGCUCAUUAAAGCUGUCACCAGGAAGAGCACUGUUGCAAUAUGUUGAUGAUUUCAUGGUGCCCCAACUCAAGCUCAGUGUGAAAAAGACACAAUUGCACUGUUGAAACAUUUGGAUAAAGAAGGUCAUAAAGCUACCCUGUCAAAAUUGCAUUUUGUACAACAAGAAGUGACAUUUUGGGUCAUGUGAUCACAUCAGAGGGCAAAUCCCUCUCCCCAAAAAGAAUAAAAGCAAUCCAAAACAUUCCACGACCAAUUACAAAGAAACAAGUCAUGUCUUCUUUAGGAAUGUGUUCUUAUUGCAGAUCAUUUAUUCCCAACUAUGCUGUCCUCGAGGUGCCCCUGAGCGCAAUCUCACACAGGCGAGGCCUGCAGGCACCACAGUAAGGUGACAUGGACUGCUGAACCAGAAAAAGCAUUUGUUGAUUUGAAACUUGCUCUCCAAACGACUCGGACUCUUGGAUUACCUGAUCCAAGUCAACCUUUCACCUAGACUGUUGACAAAAAUGGAGGAUGCGUGACUUUAGUGCUGCUCCAGGACCAUGGAGGCAGACAGAGACCUGUAGCUUACUUUUCAAACUUGACCCUGUAGCUGCAGGACUUCCUACAUGUCUGAGAGCUGUUGCGGCUGCAGAAAAAGCUGUGAUGGCUUCCAGGGACAUAGUGGGGUACUCUGACCUAACUUUGCUCGUUCCACAUGCUGUUUCAUUGAUUUUGCUCAAACAGAAAACAUCUCAUCUUUCUGCAGCAAGAUGGCUCCGUUACAACACUGUGUUGCUUGAAAUGCCUAACAUCACUGUGAAAAGAUGUAAUGUUCUUAAUCCUGCAACUCUUCUCCCCACAGAAGGUGAUGGAGAGGAACACAACUGUGUUGCCACAAUAAGUUUGUGCCACAAACAACAUUGGUAUUGGUAUUCAAACACCACAAGCAGCACACCCUCCACCAGAAAAAAACAUUUGAUCACUUACAGAUGGAUUUCAUUGAACUAACACCAAGUGGAGGAAAGAAAUAUUGUCUGGUAAUUAUUGACAUGUUUUCCAAAUGGAUCGAAGUUUUUCCCAUAGCAAAACAAGACACCGGUGCUGUUGCUAAAGCUCUUAUCAUUGUCAGGAAUUCCGGGAAGAAUUAGCAGUGAUAAUGGAACACCGUUUGUCUGUGCUGAUCUAAAACAAGUUGGUGAAUAUUUUGGCAUUGACAUGAGACAGCAUCGUGCUUAUCAUCCAGCCAGUGGUGGUGCUGUUGAGCGAGAGAAUGGAACCUUAAAAAAUAAAUUGGCAAAAGGAAACAGGCUUUUCUUGGACAAAGACACUCCCAAUUGUUCUUAUGCAAAUGAGAGCUAGGGUCAGACCAAAAUACGGCCUUAGUCCAUUUGAAAUCCUGUUUGGGUGAGCAGCCAACACAGGCAUUGGACCUGUCAAAAGACAAUUACCGUCCACAGUCCACUGUGAAGAUGAAAUGCUUCGUUACUGUGCUAACUUAUCCUCUUUUCUAUCUAACAUACACAACCAGGUGAAAGAAGCACUACCAACUCUAGUCACAGGACCUCUUCAUGACCUGCAGCCUGGUGACAGGAUAGUAUUGAAAGACUUGAGAAGAAAGGCUUGGCGCUCUAAGCGGUAGACGGGCCCAUUCCAGGUGCUGUUGACCACACAGAUGGCAGUAAAGGUCACUGAAAGAGUCACCUGGAUCCAUGCCAGCCACUGCAAAAGAGUUCCACCUCCACCAGAGACACCUACAACAGAGUAAGUCACCACAGCGCGAUUGGGGACUCUACGAGAGUGUAGGUGGAUUGCUGCUCUCAGGUGACCAACACAAAGACAUCCAUUCACACACCAGGAAGAGAAGUAGAAGUGACAGUAUUGGCAUACUGUCCGACAAGAGCGGGCCAGGCUCCAACUAAGUGAUGUGCUGAGUGAAUCUCAGUGUCACCAUCGUGGGAUCAAUGAUGGAACCCGAACGACAGCCAUGGCAUCCAUUCAGAUGUCCUGGAUGGUGUGGUUUGCGAGGUUCAAUGUGUUCUCUUUUUGUGAUUUAAUUGUUCUCUUAAUUGUGAUUCCAAUCAGCUUCAAUUUAGACAGUCAACAUGCACAAACAAAUACCGAUACAACACCAGGGCCACAACCAGCUAAUGUUACCACAUUGUCGCUUAAAAGCAACCAACGUUUUGCAUACAAAACUCCUUUUGACCACCCUGACUUUAUGAAAAACAAUGCCUGGUUGAUGUACACUAACUACACCACAUGACAGCAUGCUAACCACUCUUGUUUGUUCUGUAUGCCAGCCCGCCCUGAGCUAAUGAUCAUGUCAACUCCACACACCCCACAAACAUCCUGACACUGUUUCCCACACUCCUUGUCUAUAAAAAGCAUGUACACUUUGUAUUUGAUUAUCAGUCUGCAAUUACACUUUUUUGUGACUGUACACUGAUCCCUUGCAAGGUUCUCAUUAAAAGACAUUAAGACAACUUGGUCAUUGUCAGCUUUUUAUUUUUCAGAUUUCCACCACACUCGUGACCCAUUUUCCAUCAAACCAGAGGCAGACUUCUGUGUAAAAGCAAAAGAGGUAAUGUCUUGUAUUGAUGAGAACAUCUUUCAAAUGGAAUUGGUUGAUGUGCAGUCCUCCUUUGCUUUAAAACAGCACUUGCAGUCUGAGGGUGCAGUGGACUUUUGGUCUAAACAUGUUAGCCAAUAUCAGUACCCCACAAUAAGGAAAGUGGCCUUGCUAAUACUGACAAUGUUUGGAUCCACUUACACUUGUAGAGUCUAGUUUUCUCGUAUGAAUGCCAUCAAAACAAGGGCACGUUGUUCCAUGACCAAUGAGAAGUUGCAUGAGUGUCUCAGGAUUGCCCUUACUACUUAUGAGCCAAACUAUGUUGAAAUAGCGAAAUCAAGGCAGUGUAAUUUCUCUCAUUGACUCAAACAGGCUCAAAAUGACAGAAGUCUGAUUUGUAUGGUAGUUCUGUAGUAGUAAAUCACCUGAUUGAGGCAUUUAAUGCCAUCUUAGUGAAAAUGCAAAGACUACAGAUCUGUUUUAUGAUGAUUCAAACAGGCCUACUUAUUGUUAGUCUUGAUACUGUUCAACUGUUUUCACCCUUAACAAAUAUGGAUAUGGACCUGCUAUAAGCACCAUAUGUCUGCUUGGAAUUGUUUUUGAUAGUACCAUGAACAGGCCCAUUUAUUAUUAGUCUGAUGGCUACUGUUUUACUAUGUUCAUCUUGCAUUUAGCAUUUAAGGAUAUGGACCUGUUUUAAAAGCUCCUUAUGUAUGCUUGGAAGUGUUGUUGAGGAUGUUAUAAACAGGCCUACUUACUGUUAGCCUGAUGGAUACUGUUUUACUAUAUUCAUCUUGUUUUCUACAUUUGUGGAUAUGGACCUGUCAGAAAAACACCUCAUGUCUCCUUGGUUUUUAAAUUGUUACUCUUUGCACUUCUGUUUCAAGCUUUGUAACCAUAGCUUUCCUACUUUUUGUAUAGACUGGCUGCUGUCUGGAAUUGAUUGUAAUGAUACAAUUAAAGUGAAAGAAAAGG